RNAcentral lists this ribosomal RNA (229 nucleotides) under uncultured bacterium. RNAcentral describes it as "partial 16S ribosomal RNA". It matches the Rfam family "Bacterial small subunit ribosomal RNA", at positions 568 to 796 of the family's 1533-position model. The record is from RNAcentral.
UGCGCAGGCGGGGAUGUAAGUCAGUGGUGAAAUACUGCCGCUCAACGGUAGAACUGCCAUUGAUACUGCAUCUCUUGAGUAUGGUUGAGGUAGGCGGAAUGUGUUGUGUAGCGGUGAAAUGCAUAGAUAUGACACAGAACGCCAAUUGCGAAGGCAGCUUACUAAGCCAUUACUGACGCUGAGGCACGAAAGCGUGGGGAGCGAACAGGAUUAGAUACCCUGGUAGUCC